Molecule: long non-coding RNA, 235 nt
Filed under: Setaria italica (foxtail millet)
Lineage: Eukaryota; Viridiplantae; Streptophyta; Magnoliopsida; Poales; Poaceae
Description: long non-coding RNA (SITA_LNC006918)
Source: RNAcentral
CCGGCCCUACCCCUAUUUCUACAGGGAUCGUUUCCUCUGCAUCUCUGCACCAAAAUAUGUCACUACAGGAUUUCAAGACAAACUAAAGUCUUUCGGCAGACUAGAAAGCUCACCGGGUUGAGCGUGGCGGCAAUCGCACACGCUUCUUCUCGGCAACAGGGUCACGGUUCUCCUUUUAUAGUACAAGGAGGACAUCGGGGUUACAGGUGAGACCGGGUGUGAGGAGAAGUAAAAG